CUGAGCUUUAAAGAUUUAGGAAUGAAAGUAAAUGUAUUUAAGCAAAAUCGAACCUAAUUUGACUUUGCUUCCAGAUCUGUCAGCUGCACAGCAACACGGAUGUUUUCAGGAGGCAGCAGGGCCAAAAAUACAUUCAGAGGGUUAAAAACAUCCUGGUUAUCUGUGAUGAGAGAAAAACUGAGUGACUUCAACCUGAGGAGGAGUCAUUUAUCACACAGAACCGAAGAGAGUAAAAAACAGAGUCAGCAGGACACAUUUUUCAGCUUUUCGUCAAAGCUUCGCUCGCAGGUGUAUUUCUGUCUGGUGUAACUUUGACACCGGUGCUCUUCGUCCCCAUUGACUUUGCCAGAGUUCCUGUUCACAAAAUCACAAAGAGUAACAGCGAGGUUGAUGAAUAACGCAAUUCAAGGCCAGUUGAACUAACUCCAGCAGGUUUUGGUCUAAAACAAAUGAUUCAGACUCUGCAUUCAUCUUCCCUGAACACCAGAGUACUCUGAAACUGUGUAUGGAGUAAUC
Dicentrarchus labrax (European seabass) is the source of this 516-nucleotide long non-coding RNA. The record is from Ensembl. NCBI's taxonomy places the organism in Eukaryota, Metazoa, Chordata, Actinopteri, Moronidae.